UGCAGUCGAACGGUAACAGGUCUUCGGACGCUGACGAGUGGCGAACGGGUGAGUAAUACAUCGGAACGUGCCCAGUCGUGGGGGAUAACUACUCGAAAGAGUAGCUAAUACCGCAUACGAUCUGAGGAUGAAAGCGGGGGACCUUCGGGCCUCGCGCGAUUGGAGCGGCCGAUGGCAGAUUAGGUAGUUGGUGGGAUAAAAGCUUACCAAGCCGACGAUCUGUAGCUGGUCUGAGAGGACGACCAGCCACACUGGGACUGAGACACGGCCCAGACUCCUACGGGAGGCAGCAGUGGGGAAUUUUGGACAAUGGGCGAAAGCCUGAUCCAGCAAUGCCGCGUGCAGGAUGAAGGCCUUCGGGUUGUAAACUGCUUUUGUACGGAACGAAAAAGCUUCUCCUAAUACGAGAGGCCCAUGACGGUACCGUAAGAAUAAGCACCGGCUAACUACGUGCCAGCAGCCGCGGUAAUACGUAGGGUGCGAGCGUUAAUCGGAAUUACUGGGCGUAAAGCGUGCGCAGGCGGUUAUGUAAGACAGAUGUGAAAUCCCCGGGCUCAACCUGGGAACUGCAUUUGUGACUGCAUGGCUAGAGUACGGUAGAGGGGGAUGGAAUUCCGCGUGUAGCAGUGAAAUG
This 634-nucleotide ribosomal RNA is filed under the name uncultured Delftia sp. Its description in RNAcentral is "bacterial SSU rRNA". It matches the Rfam family "Bacterial small subunit ribosomal RNA", at positions 56 to 688 of the family's 1533-position model. Lineage: Bacteria; Pseudomonadati; Pseudomonadota; Betaproteobacteria; Burkholderiales; Comamonadaceae. The record is from RNAcentral.